This 745-nucleotide ribosomal RNA is filed under the name Stenotrophomonas sp. RNAcentral describes it as "partial 16S rRNA". Lineage: Bacteria; Pseudomonadati; Pseudomonadota; Gammaproteobacteria; Lysobacterales; Lysobacteraceae. The record is from RNAcentral.
GCUUUCGUGCCUCAGUGUCAGUGUUGGUCCAGGUAGCUGCCUUCGCCAUGGAUGUUCCUCCCGAUCUCUACGCAUUUCACUGCUACACCGGGAAUUCCGCUACCCUCUACCACACUCUAGUUGUCCAGUUUCCACUGCAGUUCCCAGGUUGAGCCCAGGGCUUUCACAACAGACUUAAACAACCACCUACGCACGCUUUACGCCCAGUAAUUCCGAGUAACGCUUGCACCCUUCGUAUUACCGCGGCUGCUGGCACGAAGUUAGCCGGUGCUUAUUCUUUGGGUACCGUCAUCCCAACCAGGUAUUAGCCGGCUGGAUUUCUUUCCCAACAAAAGGGCUUUACAACCCGAAGGCCUUCUUCACCCACGCGGUAUGGCUGGAUCAGGCUUGCGCCCAUUGUCCAAUAUUCCCCACUGCUGCCUCCCGUAGGAGUCUGGACCGUGUCUCAGUUCCAGUGUGGCUGAUCAUCCUCUCAGACCAGCUACGGAUCGUCGCCUUGGUGGGCCUUUACCCCGCCAACUAGCUAAUCCGACAUCGGCUCAUUCAAUCGCGCAAGGCCCGAAGGUCCCCUGCUUUCACCCGUAGGUCGUAUGCGGUAUUAGCGUAAGUUUCCCUACGUUAUCCCCCACGAAAAAGUAGAUUCCGAUGUAUUCCUCACCCGUCCGCCACUCGCCACCCAUAAGAGCAAGCUCUUACUGUGCUGCCGUUCGACUUGCAUGUGUUAGGCCUACCGCCAGCGUUCACU